GCCGAGGUAGCUCAGUCGGUAGAGCAGGGGACUGAAAAUCCCCGUGUCCGCGGUUCGAUUCCGUGCCUCGGCA
RNAcentral lists this transfer RNA (73 nucleotides) under Candidatus Omnitrophota bacterium. Its description in RNAcentral is "Candidatus Omnitrophica bacterium tRNA-Phe". It matches the Rfam family "tRNA". Rfam says of the family: Transfer RNA (tRNA) molecules are approximately 80 nucleotides in length. Their secondary structure includes four short double-helical elements and three loops (D, anti-codon, and T loops). Further hydrogen bonds mediate the characteristic L-shaped molecular structure. tRNAs have two regions of fundamental functional importance: the anti-codon, which is responsible for specific mRNA codon recognition, and the 3' end, to which the tRNAs corresponding amino acid is attached (by aminoacyl-tRNA synthetases). tRNAs cope with the degeneracy of the genetic code in two manners: having more than one tRNA (with a specific anti-codon) for a particular amino acid; and 'wobble' base-pairing, i.e. permitting non-standard base-pairing at the 3rd anti-codon position. The record is from RNAcentral. Lineage: Bacteria; Pseudomonadati; Candidatus Omnitrophota.